Molecule: long non-coding RNA, 1060 nt
Organism: Mercenaria mercenaria
Lineage: Eukaryota; Metazoa; Mollusca; Bivalvia; Venerida; Veneridae
Exons: 5
Source: RefSeq, a predicted model, not a curated record
CUAAUUUGAGAUAAACAUGCGUAUCUAUGACAAAAAUCCAUAAUAUCAUUACAAGGGCAAUACACAUAAAAGUCAGAUGUGUCAAUUUUAUUUUUAGAAACGGUUGCAGUCACAAAGUAAUUGACAGAAUAAAAUGUAAAUUUCAGCAUAUUUUUUCACACAAAAAUGUGUUAGUGCGUAGAAAUGUGAUCAGGCUGAGCACAUGGCCUUAUGGAUUUCAUGAUUUUCGGCGCUUAACGUGAAAACAGUUAAAGCACAGGAUUCACAAACAUUAAAGUUAUGCUUAAAUCUAUAUGCGAUACAUUAUGCAUAUAAUUAUAAUUCAUGAUAAUAUCGCAUAUGGAAGUAACUGGAAUAAAUUUGGACUAUUUCCUUCGGAAGUUUACAUGACUGUCCUGUCAAAAGGCCUCCUUCGUGUUUACAUAUUUUGACAGGUCGAGUUGUUCUGGGACUAGGAACAAUGAUAAAUGAAUACCUGCACCAUGGAAACAAUGUCAUUUGCAAACUUUUUAAACCUGUGCUGGGCGUUUACAUUGACAUUUCUUGUUCAACAGGAAUACAUGAUGUCGACCAACAGUACAGCUAGAUGAAGAUAUAAAUUUAUUAAAAGAAAUAAUGGGACAAUGAAUGCUAAAAUUGCCAAGAAGAAGACUGCCAAUUUACACACCAUUUUAUACAGUUACAGUAUGAUAUGGUGAACAAAAUGCCUCAAUGCAGCCAGUUCUGGAGCUUUGGCUAGACUAUGAACAGUAGACAUCAAAAGAUGAUCAUCUGAAAGGCCACAAUUGUUUAAAGCACUGGUCAACAAAAACUGUACUAUUUGAUGGAUCAUACAUGUGCAGAAUGUACAACCAUAUUUCCAGAAUCAGAGAAAUAGAAAUAUCAAGUAUUAGAGAGAAAGAAAAGUAUGCAUCAUGUAUGAAGAACUGCCUAAGAAUAAUUUGCAAAAUACAUUGAAAUCUAACAAUUGCUAAUUGCAUAAGGAAGUUAAGAAAGGUGUACUCUUCUGGAAAAUAUGUGUCCAGUGCAACAUUUCUUUUCCAAUUUUGUGAGCAUAAUU